Molecule: small nucleolar RNA, 143 nt
Organism: Psammomys obesus (fat sand rat)
Lineage: Eukaryota; Metazoa; Chordata; Mammalia; Rodentia; Muridae
Product: small nucleolar RNA SNORA48
Exons: 1
Source: RefSeq, a predicted model, not a curated record
AGCACUGGCAAUGGGAUAAGAGACACCUUGUUGGUGAUGUUGUUCUUUUAUCAGUCAGAAGCAGAGCAGAUGGCGGUCCUCUGUCCAUCCUAGCUUAAUGCCUGGCUUGGUGGUCAACGCUGUUUAAUGCCUAGGACACAUAA